RNAcentral lists this ribosomal RNA (429 nucleotides) under Chloroflexota bacterium. RNAcentral's name for it is "Chloroflexi bacterium partial 16S ribosomal RNA". It matches the Rfam family "Bacterial small subunit ribosomal RNA", at positions 355 to 776 of the family's 1533-position model. Lineage: Bacteria; Bacillati; Chloroflexota. The record is from RNAcentral.
UGGGGAAUAUUGCACAAUGGGCGCAAGCCUGAUGCAGCCAUGCCGCGUGUAUGAAGAAGGCCUUCGGGUUGUAAAGUACUUUCAGUCGGGAGGAAGGUGGUAAGGUUAAUAACCUUAUCAAUUGACGUUACCGACAGAAGAAGCACCGGCUAACUCCGUGCCAGCAGCCGCGGUAAUACGGAGGGUGCAAGCGUUAAUCGGAAUUACUGGGCGUAAAGCGCACGCAGGCGGCUGAUUGAGUCAGAUGUGAAAUCCCCGGGCUUAACCCGGGAAUUGCAUCUGAUACUGGUCAGCUAGAGUCUUGUAGAGGGGGGUAGAAUUCCAUGUGUAGCGGUGAAAUGCGUAGAGAUGUGGAGGAAUACCGGUGGCGAAGGCGGCCCCCUGGACAAAGACUGACGCUCAGGUGCGAAAGCGUGGGGAGCAAACAGG